Non-coding RNA from Danio rerio (zebrafish), 860 nucleotides. The record is from RefSeq and is a predicted model, not a curated record. Lineage: Eukaryota; Metazoa; Chordata; Actinopteri; Cypriniformes; Danionidae.
CUAAAGGACCUUCUGUACUUUAUACAGGAGAUGACAGUAAACUUUCAAGUUUAAGAGGUAAAAUGUUCAGGGUUUUUCUGUUUGAUUUUGAGUGUUUUGUAGAUAUAAGGUUCACUGAUAUAGGAUAUAAGAUUUGCUGUAUGUUUAUGCUGUCAUUUUGGUUAUAAGUACAAGAACUCAGGCAGUUGUGCUGGACCAUCUGUACUUCAUACAGGGGAUGACAGUAAACUGCAAAGUUUAAGAGCCACCUGAUGAUGAGAAAGACAUUAUCAAUGUAGGCAUCUUGAUGAAGAAGAGUCCACAGCCACAAUAACAAGAUCAUUGAGCUGUCCCCUAAUUGUGGUCAGCUACAUGUUUAGUCUCUUAUGUGCUAAACAUUAUGUAGCCUAAGGAAGCAGCCCUGACUCUGUAGUUUAUAUGAAGGAGCAUGCUGAGUAACUAUCCAGAAAGUAGGUCCAAAGCAGAAAAAAGGGCACCAAGCAGAAACAUACCAUCUAAACUCCUUCGAUUCCUGUCAGACCAGAAAGACUUUCAGAAUCCUUGGAAGAUUUAAAGCCAUUGAAGUAUCAGUAUUGGAGAGGAAGAAGACCCAGUUGUAUCGUCUGUUUCCUGCCAUCUUGCAGUUAACCUGGUUUCUUAAUGUAAAGUACUUGUAAUUUGCCCACUUGCCCUUAAUUAUCUUAAAGCUAACAUUUAAAACUAAUUUGCUAUGAGAUUAUUUGCCAAGACUUCUCACGGUGCGAUUCACAUGUCAAUAUGUAUUAUUGUGUGUAUAACUAGCUAUUUGGAAUUCAAAUGAUUUGUAUUCAUUAAAGAAUCUGUUUUAAUUGCAAAGUUGUUUUUGUACUAAUCAUUGCAAG